UAAGCACUCAAAUUACCCUUCUUUCUACAUAUAAACACGGCCCGGGGUGUGCGGCUCUCCCCGGCCGCGGGGUCCUCCCGGCCCAGUCCGGCUCCCCCGCACCUACCCCGGCCCCGGCCGGAGGGAGUUUCUGCUGCGGGACACGGCAGGAGAACACGAGCCGAACACAGAACCCCCGCUCCGCAUGGCUCCCCCGGGCUAGCGCUCAGGUGGUGUUGACAGAAGAAGAUGGGUAGGAGAUUUCAAUGGCAGGCACACGUGUCCCAGGAGAGGGUGAGACACCAACAGAGAUGGAGCAAGAAAUGAGCCUUGGACAGCUGCAGGAGAGAAACCCAAACCUUCUCUGGAAAGUAGGGUCACCUGCAGGCUAGGGACACCUUAUGAAACACCCAUCCCUCCAGACAUGUGUGAGCAUCAAGCAGCCACCAGGAGCUGGCAUGGGUCCCAUGGGCACUGGGGAAGGUGCAGAGCACAGCAAUGAGGGUGGCAGGUGCCACUCAGGACCCAUCUUUCUGCUGGGAUGUGCCUAUGGAUAGAAGGGGAAAUGUGAAAGGGACAAUGGGGAAUCAAGGGAACACAACAGCACCUAAAUAAAGGGGUGAAGACUGAACGUGUGAAACAAAAGUGGGGAGAAGAUCCAUAGCUGGACCAUCUCCUUCAGAGGGAGAUGAUUUCAGAGGGGUUGUGAGUGUUUGAGCCAGCUCAGGAUUUUUCUGGGAAAGGUUAGGCGGGUGUUUCUAGCGUGAUUGCAACCAAGCCAGCUCUGUUGGGGAUGGCUGCAAUGUUUAUUCAUGGUGGGGAAGGAAGGGACCAGCUGACUUUUAGAUCCCCAAAAGCAUAAAGAGUGGGCCCUUUUCUGUGAUCAUGGACAAUAAUUGUACUACUUCACCUCAGGGCUCUUCAGAUGUCAGCCAAGUCCCAACAAAUUAAAUGAUGAAGAAAGGGGGAAUAAACCCCAAUGCAAGCAAGGCAGCACAACCUCCUCCCCUGCCUUAGGGCUGCCCUUACUAAAAGCUCAGCUGAUCCUACAUUUGGGACUGAAAGGUGAACUCCAAAUGCAGAGCAAACAUCCCUUUAUGGGGUCUCUCUUUUCACCCUUAGAACAGAGACCUCCCCAUUUCCACAGCUGCUGGGUGCAGCCUCUUGGUGCCACCAUCUCAGCCUUUUGUCCCAAACAAGAUCUUCCUUUGGGAAGGCAAUUUCAUUCCCAUGCACCUUCCCUGGUUCUCUUUGGGUCUGUGUCCCCUCUCCAGCAUCCCUUCACCCUAUUAAUAUCCUUUGACUGUCCUCACACCUGCAGACAAUCUGGUCCCCAACCACCUCCACCUCCCCCCUUCCUCAAAAGCUUCCCUCAGCUGUCUUUAAGUCGUAGCUGAAAUCUGUGGUAUGUAGGAGGAGAAAUUCAGUCUGACAGCAGUUUAAAACACCGCACUACUUGGCAGAUUUAAAUGCUAUUUUAAAUAUAAGCUAUGACACAACGGACAAAAAUAGCAUUGAAAAUACCCUGUCAUGUUCCAUAUUGCGAGGAAUAGGGAAGCAGACCAGGCUAGAAAGGAGCAGAGAGAGGGGCCAGAUGGAGAGGAGAGGUUAUUUUGUUUGUUUUAAAGAAACUGGAUAAAUGUAUUUUGUAUGUGACUGAGUAAAUGUGUUUUAUAGAGCAACGAGCCAAAAAAAAAAAAAUAAACCUUCUCAUGAAAAAUCUACAUAUUUUAUUUGAUGUGGGAUCUGCCAAAGCAGGUUUGCUGCUGAGAGGAUAUAUUUGUUAUCAGGUUGUUUUGGAGAUGCUCAACACCAGCAGCCACCAGCUACUGAAGACCACUUCGUCUCUGCUGAAUCUUUUUCUUCCCUUUAUUUAUUUAUGUUUUAAUAGGAAUUUGCUCUUUUCAAAAUAAAAAAAAGAAAGAAAAAGACAUUCCAAAUACCUGGAAGUGACUUUUCACCUGUGACUCCCAGCUUGGUGACCCUGCACUGGAGGAGUUGAUGGAUUGCAGAGCUUGGCAGGGAGUGUCCCUGCAGGGUCAGCCUGUGGGACCAGGCAGGCUGAGCCACCUCUGAUUGCCCAAGGGGCCUGGGUGUGUGCCUGGGACAUCCUGGGAGCUCUCCUGACCCUGCAGCAUCGUUGCUUUCUGGCAUGGGUAGGAAACAUCUGGAGCAUCUGGGCCCUGAAGCUGCAGGGCUGCAAGGAGAGGUUUCUUCAUCAUUUUUCCUGAAUGCAACCACUGCUCCAAGCUGCUCUCUCAUCACAGCAUCUUCUUCCCCACCGCUCCCCACACUCUGUCUUACAGGGAAGGACAAAUAUCUGCCCACGCUUUGGGUUUGUCUCCUGGGGCUGGGUUUUGGCUCCUUCCAGUCCCCCCAGUAUAACCAGCAGUAAAUCUGGUCAUGAGAAUGACCUGAGGAGAGUGCAAGAGACAGGGGAGAAGUCAGAAUGUGAGCAAGUCUUGGCUGCAGCACCAUGAGAUAAAUGGAAAGCCUGGAGACAAGGGCUGGUGUUCCACACUAGACUGUCCCUACCUGGGGACAGGCACAGCGCUGGCACUCAUGGGACAGAGGUGCCAGAUGCCAGCUGUGUCCCCAAAAUGGGGCAGAAUGAGAGGUUCACUCCCAGUUCAGGAUCUGAGCAGCUCUGCCUCUGGCUGCCUGACUGCAAUAGCAAUUGCCCCUCUUUUGCUGGGGUAAGGAUUUGGUCCUGACAACACCUCACAGCACAAUUUACCGGGGUGGCUGAGCUGCCAGGGCUCUGAUGAACACCCUGGCAGGAAUUCAGGGGCUCCCCAAGCCUCCUGCAUCCACUGCUAAUCCAGCUGCAGCAGCUGAAACUAGGGGCAAAGACACAGAGUGAAACAUUUUAGCUAUCAUCUUAAAAAGGUCUUUUUUAUUUUAAACCCAACAUGUUAUUAUAAUGGAAACACACAAUUUGAAGAGCUUAACAGAACAGUUCAAUGAAGCCAGGUUAGCAUUAGAAAUCAAAGACUGAGAUCUUUCAACCCCUUAAAAAUCAUCAUGGCCUGGGAAAAUAUGCCCCCCCCAGACAGAUUUCUCUGACCAUCCAGUGGUGGAUGCAUAAAAAGCUUUUUAUUAGGAGAGAGAACAGCCCUGAAUCUGUGCUCCAUUCUCACCUCUGGGUGCCCACUCCCAGCUAGGGGCUCGUGGCUCCUCCUGAACCCUCAGUCUGUGCCCACCUUGGGGUUCCUGUGGGCACUCUGGAAGGAAGGGACACCUCAGGCACUGUUCACAUCAGGAACAGCAUCACUGCUCACAGUGCCACGAAGUCCGUGGCCUUUUCUGUCUCUGGACUAAGGCACUGGCAGAGCAGGGCACCCACACCUCCACAUCUUAAUAAAGAUUUUUAACACUCCCAGUUGCCCUGCCUGCUGCAGGGCAGAGUCAAUAGCAGCAGUUUCAGCCUGGAGUCUGGCUCUACACCUGUGCCAAGUGGGAUGUACCCAGCUCUCAGCCUUGCAGAGGGGGCUGUGUACCCUCCCCAACACCUCCCUGUGCAUACAGAAACCCAGAACUAGAGGGAAACAGGAGGAACCCUGAUGAGAGGUGAAGGAAAACUCCUGGUAGGGCCAAAAGAGGCUUUGCUGGGCUACAGACUGAGUAGCAUCACUGCUGCCAGAGCUGGGAGCUCGCCUCACCAGUGAUUUUCAUGCCCCACUCAGAAAAGCAGAACCAUCGCUCUGUAAAAGCAGCUCUGUUGUGCUUCUUUUUUAUUUCAGAUGAAAAUAAAAGCAUUUCAGUGUCCUUU
Long non-coding RNA from Zonotrichia leucophrys gambelii, 3751 nucleotides. RefSeq lists it as uncharacterized. NCBI's taxonomy places the organism in Eukaryota, Metazoa, Chordata, Aves, Passeriformes, Passerellidae. The record is from RefSeq and is a predicted model, not a curated record. The transcript has 2 exons.